AGAGUUUGAUCCUGGCUCAGGAUGAACGCUAGCGGGAGGCUUAACACAUGCAAGUCGAGGGGUAACAGGGGUAGCAAUACCUGCUGACGACCGGCGUACGGGUGAGUAACGCGUAUGCAACCUGCCCUAUACAGGAGGAUAGCCCGGAGAAAUUCGGAUUAAUACUCCAUGUGGCAUUUUUUUCGCAUGAAUUAGAUGUUAAAGAUUUAUCGGUAUAGGAUGGGCAUGCGUCCCAUUAGCUAGUUGGUGAGGUAACGGCUCACCAAGGCAUCGAUGGGUAUGGGGUCUUAAAGGAUGGUCCCACACACUGGCACUGAGACACGGGCCAGACUCCUACGGGAGGCAGCAGUGAGGAAUAUUGGUCAAUGGGUGAGAGCCUGAACCAGCCAUCCCGCGUGCAGGAUGACGGUCCUAGUGAUUGUAAACUGCUUUUCUAUGAGAUGAAUAAGAAUUACGUGUAGUUCGAUGACCGUAUUAUAGGAAUAAGCAUCGGCUAACUCCGUGCCAGCAGCCGCGGUAAUACGGAGGAUGCAAGCGUUAUCCGGAUUUAUUAGGUUUAAAGGGUGCGUAGGUGGGCGUUUAAGUCAGUGGUUAAAGCCAUUAGCUUAACUAAUGUAUGCCAUUGAUACUGGAUGUCUUGAAUGUG
This 646-nucleotide ribosomal RNA is filed under the name uncultured bacterium. RNAcentral describes it as "bacterial SSU rRNA". It matches the Rfam family "Bacterial small subunit ribosomal RNA", at positions 8 to 650 of the family's 1533-position model. The record is from RNAcentral.